GGAGAGAUGCAGGAGUGGUUGAACUGGCCGCUCUCGAAAAGCGGUGUAUCCCUAGGAUACCCAGGGUUCGAAUCCCUGUCUCUCCGCCA
Molecule: transfer RNA, 89 nt
Filed under: Patescibacteria group bacterium
Lineage: Bacteria
Description: tRNA-Ser
Rfam family: tRNA
About the family: Transfer RNA (tRNA) molecules are approximately 80 nucleotides in length. Their secondary structure includes four short double-helical elements and three loops (D, anti-codon, and T loops).
Source: RNAcentral